UUACCAGCUUGACAUGCAAGAGAUGGCUAUCACAGGUGGUGCAUGGUUGUCGUCAGCUCGUGUCGUGAGAUGUUGGGUUAAGUCCCGCAACGAGCGCAACCCUAUCUUAUUUGCUAACAUAUGAGACUAUAGGAGACUGCCUACGCAAUAGGAGGAAGGUGGGGACGACGUCAAAUCAUCAUGCCCCUUAUGCUGGGCUACACACGUGCUACAAUGGGGUACAAGGGGCAUGGUGACAUAAGCAAUCCAAAACCGUCUAAGUUCGGAUCGAAGUCUGCAACUCGACUUCGUGAAGCCGGAAUCACUAGUAAUCGCGAUCAGAUGCGCGGUGAAUACGUUCUCGGGUCUUGUACACACCGCCCGUCACACCACGGGAGUUGGAAACCAAA
This 389-nucleotide ribosomal RNA is filed under the name uncultured bacterium. RNAcentral describes it as "bacterial SSU rRNA". It matches the Rfam family "Bacterial small subunit ribosomal RNA", at positions 971 to 1422 of the family's 1533-position model. The record is from RNAcentral.